This 2614-nucleotide unclassified non-coding RNA is filed under the name Hevea brasiliensis (rubber tree). The record is from RNAcentral. Lineage: Eukaryota; Viridiplantae; Streptophyta; Magnoliopsida; Malpighiales; Euphorbiaceae.
CUUCUCCCUCCUAAGAAUUCUGUCCAUUUAUUAACAGAAAUCUACAAUGUUCACAAGGAAUUAAGGUUACAAUGCUAAUUUGACAGAUUCCAGAAGCUCAGAGAAUACAAAGAAUACAAAGAGGACUUGUUCAUUGUAAGUCCCACUUAUUAAUUUCAAUGGCAGGUUCUAACAAUCCAAAGAAGGAGCAAAUACCUCCCUGAAAUUCACAAUCAAUAAGCACAAUAUCGCUUAUGGUACGGAAGACUGCAAUCGAAACAGAAGAACACAUCACUUAGAGAAAAAAAAAAUCUAACAAAAAUUUCAUGUCAGACAAAAAUAAUUUGUUGUGUAUAUGAAGUAGCUUAUUUUCUUCCUCAAUUCAAUAAAGGACUCUUCAGGUCACUCCAUCACCAUUACAAUAUGUCCACCAAUUUUGCCACGGCAGAAGCCUAGUUUUCUGACAAAGCAAUUAUUUGCCAAUUUCAAGUCCUCCCAAAUCACUGGAAUGAGAGAAACCAGAUGGAACCUAGUUAACGACAUCAACAACAAGCCUGCGAGACUUCAAAACUGACCACUUCAAGCGCCGGUAAUAUGCAGCCUGAAGUAAUGCCAGUGAGAGUACAAAUAUCCAUUUAAAACCCAUCAAUUUUCUUUCUUCCAUUUCUGGCUCUGCAGCCCAUGAUAAAAAUGUUACAACAUCUUUUCCCAUCUGUGCUUCUGUUGCAGGGGUACCAUCUUCAUACUCAACGGCACCAUCAUUCAGCAUUUUAGGCAUGGCAAUAGCUCCUCCAGGAAAGUAAGGAUUGUAAUGCAACCCCUCUCUGAUCUAUACCAUAUUUCAUUGUUUUAAAAUUUAUUUCAGGUUAGAACGAAGAACAAUAAAUAAUUAUUGUGAAAAAAGAAACAUUUAGUCUAUAAUUGUAAAAUGAAAGAUACAUCUAAUUUUCCACAGGCACAAAUAUGCUUCAUGAUGAAGUUCCUGACUUACCAUAGGGCAGCAACAUUUGAGAGAAAUGGCCCACCACAGAAGUAUGAUAGAAACAGGACAAAGCAAUUUUAUACAUGGAGAAAAAGGAAUUCAAAUCACAUUCUUAACUGUGAAACUUAAAGAGAUUAAUGAAAUUAAGGCUCCAUUUGUUUUGUGUAAAAUAUUUUUCUAAAAAAUAUUUUUUGCAUUUUCUAGUAUUUGAGGCACUCGAGACAUGGAUCAACGAAAAAUAUUUUCCUGAUCAAAGGAAAAAUUAAAACUCUUUUUAAGGAAAAUAACUUCUUUUUUUUCAAAAAAGGAAGUCAUUUUCUGAACUUUAAAAAUCUUAUUGAAAUAUGAAAACACUUAUACAUCCAUAAUAUAAAUAUAUACCAUUAGUUUAACACUGCAACCAAGCAAUGAAAAAUAUUUUCAUGGAAACAUUGUUUUAAAAAACAAUUUUCAUAUAUAAGUUAUUUUUCAUGAAACGAGGAGCCUAAGAAUUAAUAAGUUUAGCAGACACAUCCAGGACCAGCCAACCUUCCUCCAAAGACGCAACGGAAUUAAAACCGGCAUGCUCAACAAAAGAGAAGUGCAAACUGUAUUAUAUCAAAGCUUUUUUCUUGAGAACUUAAGCUGCGACAGAAAUCUACCAAUUCUCUAUAGAGUAUAUCAAACUAGAAAUUUUCCUUCAACACAUCAUGAAAGGUAUUUGUAUACAAUUGCAACCUGUAUUUUUCCAGGGCUAUAAAGUUAAAUUCUUAUAGUGUACAAAAGCAUGUCGUAAAAAGAAUAAGGCAACACUUACUGAAACACCAGCAGGAGGAUCAUGGUAACCAGUUAAAAGAGCAAAAACAUAAUUCUGACCAUUGUGACGAGCCUGCAAGAACAAGAAGUUAGGAAAUUCUAGAACACACCAUUGAAACUUCCAAAAAAUUCUUAACAAGGAGUUAUGAUUUACUUUCGUAAUAAGACUUAAAUCAGGAGGAUAAGCCCCUCCAUUAGCAAAUCUGGCCGCUUGUUCAUUUGCAUAUGGCUGAGGAAAACGAUCACUGAGUUUACCAGGACGGGUAAACAUCUCACCCUCAUCAUUGGGCCCAUCAACCACCUCGAUCUCAGCUGCCAUAGCUUUCACCUCCUCUUCUGUAUAUGCAACACCUACCAAAUCACGAUGUGAUAUCAAAGACAUGGAGUGGCAAGAUGCACAUACUUGCUGGUAAACUUGGUGGCCACGGCGGAUCGAAGCAUGGUCAUAUGAACUGAGAAUGCCUUUGUGAGGCCAAGGAUAGCUUGGACAUUCUAAGCCAUGUUCAGCCUCAUCAGCAGAUGCUACAGUUGCGAAACCCAGAAACCCAGAAAGGCCAGCUCCAAGGAGUGCAAAUGUUCUUAGGGAAUUCAUACCUGCUGUUCCAGCAUCAUCAUGAACUUUCUUUGAAGCAAAGAUAGAUAAAAAUGAAGAGGCAGCAGAGUGUUGCUGAAGCUUCCUCCUCAAAAGCUGGUGGAUCACUCCUCCUCCAGCCAUUUCAGUGAAUAUUUCUGUAAUGGGUUCAAGGAUGAGAUUGGAGAUGGAAGCGGUCAAAAAGAGCAGCCGCAGCUCAGAGAUCCGAACGAAGGACACAAGAAGAAGACGACUGGUUAUGGUUAACAUGAAUCAUAUUCUCCCCC